GGCCGAAGUCAGAUGUCGACUGGAGUUCCCUUGACCACUUCAUUGAGAAGCUAAUGCUAAGUGCUUUCACUGAAGUGUUUGGGGGAACUCUAGGGGUCAUUUGACAAAAAAUUUACGAGGGCUUUAGUCAGAUGUUAACUGGAGUUCCCUUGACCACUUCAUUGGAAAGUUGAUGCUACAAGCUCUCAUUGAAAUGUUUGGGGAAACUCUACAAGCCAUUUGACAAAAAAAUGUUGGCC
This 239-nucleotide microRNA precursor is filed under the name Linum usitatissimum (flax). Its description in RNAcentral is "miR395d stem-loop (lus-MIR395d)". Its record names the gene lus-MIR395d. The stretch from base 13 to 100 matches the Rfam family "mir-395 microRNA precursor family". Lineage: Eukaryota; Viridiplantae; Streptophyta; Magnoliopsida; Malpighiales; Linaceae. The record is from miRBase by way of RNAcentral.